RNAcentral lists this ribosomal RNA (445 nucleotides) under uncultured bacterium. Its description in RNAcentral is "partial 16S ribosomal RNA". It matches the Rfam family "Bacterial small subunit ribosomal RNA", at positions 354 to 796 of the family's 1533-position model. The record is from RNAcentral.
GUAGGGAAUAUUGGGCAAUGGGUGCAAGCCUGACCCAGCCAUCCCGCGUGCCGGAUGAAGGCCCUCUGGGUCGUAAACGGCUUUUGACGGUGAAGAACCGAAAGGGUGCGCCCUUUUUUGACGGUAGCCGUUGAAUAAGCACCGGCUAACUCCGUGCCAGCAGCCGCGGUAAUACGGAGGGUGCGAGCGUUGUCCGGAUUUAUUGGGUUUAAAGGGUGCGUAGGCUGGAGGGACAGUCAGCGGUGAAAAGCAGUUGCUCAACAAUUGUCUUGCCGCAGAUACUACCUUACUUGGAUUGGGAGUAGGUUACCGGAACGGAUGGUGUAGCGGUGAAAUGCAUAGAUAUCAUCCAGAACGCCAAUUGCGAAGGCAGAUAACUGUACCUAUAUCGACGCUGAUGCACGAAAGCAUGGGUAGCGAACAGGAUUAGAAACCCCAGUAGUCC